UCGUCGCAAGGCGGGGUUUCGUG
RNAcentral lists this non-coding RNA (23 nucleotides) under Cricetulus griseus (Chinese hamster). Lineage: Eukaryota; Metazoa; Chordata; Mammalia; Rodentia; Cricetidae. The record is from RNAcentral.